CCUACGGGAGGCAGCAGUGAGGAAUAUUGGUCAAUGGACGCAAGUCUGAACCAGCCAAGCAGCGUGCAGGAUGACGGCCCUCUGGGUUGUAAACUGCUUUUAUAUGGGAAUAAAAGCGGGCUCGUGAGCCCCGCAUUGUAUGUCCCAACAGAAAAAGGACCGGCGCACUCCGUCCCAGACGCCGCGGUAAUACGGAAGGUCCGGGCGUUCUCCGGUUUUUGUGGGGUUAAGGGGCGCGUAGGGGGGCUUUUAAGUUAGAUGGGAAAGUCCGCGGCUCAACCGUGGAAUUGCAGUUGAAACUGGAGGCCUUGAGUGCAUACGGGGAAGCCGGAAUGCAUGGUGUAGCGGUGAAAUGCUUAGAUAUCAUGAAGAACUCCGAUCGCGAAGGAAGGUGUCCGGGGUGCAACUGACGCUGAGGCACGAAAGUGCGGGUAUCAAACAGGAUUAGAUACCCUUGUAGUC
This 462-nucleotide ribosomal RNA is filed under the name uncultured bacterium. RNAcentral's name for it is "partial 16S ribosomal RNA". It matches the Rfam family "Bacterial small subunit ribosomal RNA", at positions 338 to 795 of the family's 1533-position model. The record is from RNAcentral.